This 255-nucleotide ribosomal RNA is filed under the name uncultured bacterium. RNAcentral's name for it is "partial 16S ribosomal RNA". It matches the Rfam family "Bacterial small subunit ribosomal RNA", at positions 1247 to 1500 of the family's 1533-position model. The record is from RNAcentral.
AAGCAAAGCCGCGAGGUAGGAGCAAAUCUCAAAAAAACAAUCUCAGUUCAGACUGCAGGCUGCAACUCGCCUGCACGAAGUCGGAAUUGCUAGUAAUCGUAGGUCAGCAUACUACGGUGAAUACGUUCCCGGGCCUUGUACACACCGCCCGUCAAACCAUGAGAGUUGGCAACACCCGAAGUCGGUAGUCUAACCGCAAGGAGGACGCCGCCGAAGGUGGGGUUGAUGAUUAGGGUUAAGUCGUAACAAGGUACC